This 370-nucleotide ribosomal RNA is filed under the name Pteraeolidia ianthina. RNAcentral describes it as "partial 28S ribosomal RNA". The record is from RNAcentral. Lineage: Eukaryota; Metazoa; Mollusca; Gastropoda; Nudibranchia; Facelinidae.
AAAAGAACUCUGAAGAGAGGGUGCAAAAGCGCGUGAAACCGCCCAGGGGUAAACUGGCUGAGCCGAGCGACGUGUCCUGCCGGGGCGGCUAGUCGCCCUCGGUCUCGACCGGGUUUCGUGCCCGGUAAAGGCCGGGGCGCGUGUCCAACCCCGGCAGGUCUCCGCCGUCACCGGCACCGGGCCGUCUCGUCGUCGCGUCUUCCUCGGGUCGUCGGCUCGAGGGGUGUGGGCACGAUUGUACGAGAGCGGCCGCGGGUGCCGUGGUCGACCGCGGGUAUAUAGGCCGGUCGUUCGCGCCCUCGUGCGCGGGCGACCCCUGCCCGCCGGAAGGUGUACGGCGUAUUCCGGUACCUGCCCGACCCGUCUUGAA